GAUGAACGCUGGCGGCGUGCCUAAUACAUGCAAGUCGAGCGAACAGAUGAGGAGCUUGCUCCUCUGACGUUAGCGGCGGACGGGUGAGUAACACGUGGAUAACCUACCUAUAAGACUGGGAUAACUUCGGGAAACCGGAGCUAAUACCGGAUAAUAUAUUGAACCGCAUGGUUCAAUAGUGAAAGACGGUUUUGCUGUCACUUAUAGAUGGAUCCGCGCCGCAUUAGCUAGUUGGUAAGGUAACGGCUUACCAAGGCAACGAUGCGUAGCCGACCUGAGAGGGGGAUCGGCCACACUGGAACUAAGACACGGUCCAGUCUCCUAAGGGAGGCAGCAGUAGGGAAUCUUCCGCAAUGGGCGAAAGCCUGACGGAGCAACGCCGCGUGAGUGAUGAAGGUCUUCGGAUCGUAAAACUCUGUUAUUAGGGAAGAACAAAUGUGUAAGUAACUAUGCACGUCUUGACGGUACCUAAUCAGAAAGCCACGGCUAACUACGU
RNAcentral lists this ribosomal RNA (496 nucleotides) under uncultured bacterium. RNAcentral's name for it is "partial 16S ribosomal RNA". It matches the Rfam family "Bacterial small subunit ribosomal RNA", at positions 28 to 506 of the family's 1533-position model. The record is from RNAcentral.